GCCUACCAACCUCUCCCUAGUGCAGCGUUGGGGAAAUCCUCGACACUUCAAGGCUUGUCGGAGAAAAACACAAUAGUAGAUCACAGCCACCAACUGCUCCCUAGUCCUAGCGUCGAGGAAAUGAUCUAAAUAUAUUACUAUAUUAUACUGUCAGAGAGAACAGUGUCGUGAGACAAAGACGACAGCAGAUCACCUCUCUGUCAGCUCUCAUGGCUCCAUUUCUGCUCCUGUUGUUCCUUCUGUCUGAAGCAGCUACUGACGUGAUUGAGGUAACAGUGGAUCCUGGAGAUGAUGUCAUUCUGCCAUGUCAGGCUGCUGAUUCCAACAUCAGAGCUGUAGAGUGGAGAAGACCUGACCUGGAGCCAGAAUACGUCCUCUUAUACAGUGAUGGACACCUGGAUACAGACAACCAGAACCAUCCAUCUGCAGCUUACAGACCUGAUUGUGGUAGCAGUGCCUGGACAUGAUGUCAUUCUGCCAUGUCAGGCUCCUGGUUCCUCCAUCAGAGCUGCAGAGUGGACCAGACCUGACCUGGAGCCAAAUACCGUCCUCUUAUACAGUGAUGUGGACACUUGAAUACAGACGUCCAGCAUCCAUCCUUUAAGGACAGGGUGGAGCUGGUGGACAGACAUCUGAAGGGCGGAGACGCGUCUUUAAUUCUGAAGAAUGUGAACAGACUCGACACUGGAAUAUACAAGUGUCGAGUUAAAACCGGUGAUUCAACACAAGACAUCAACUCUGACAAAAUCAGAAUCAUCAGAAUCAUCUAUCUGCAGGUUACAGAGCCAGGUGCUGCAGUGGUUGGUGUCCUGAUAUAUAAAAGACAUAAGAACAAGAGAUCAGGACAACCUGCUGCUGCUGAUGAAGCAUCAGCCGAUAAGUUAAUGUGACAUCUCCCAGAGCUCUUUACACCAGACUGUUUUCUCAUGUGUUGUAAAUACAACAUGAUUAUCAUUACUUCUGUGGGUGUGAGGUCAUGUGCAGAUCUGCUAUUUUGGUCUGUUUGCCCCAUCGUGGUGGAGGGGUCUGUGUAUCUGAGUCUGGGAUCUGUAUUAUCUGGAGCUCUGAGAUCCUCUAGGGCAGGGGUCACCAACCUUUUAGAAACUGAGAGCUACUUCAUGGGUACUGAGUCAUACGAAGGGCUACCAGUUUGAUACGCUCUUCUGAAAUAACAAAUUUGCUCAGUUUGCCUUUAGUUAUAUAUGAUUAUUAAUGAUUAAUGAUAUUCAUCUAUGUGAAGACACUGAUUACGUUAAUGAUUUCUCACAAUAAUUAUCAACAAUGACUUAACAAGGUGGGAAACAAAUAAUGUCAAUAUUCAAUUUUCAUUUUUAGAACAGGCCUGAGGGCUACUCAUGUGGUCCUUGGGGGCUACCUGGUGCCCGCGGGCUCCGUGUUGGUGACCUCUGCUCUAGGGUCUCCCAUGGUGAGAUGGUCCCAGAGGAGGGCCAGACUAAAGGCCUUUUUAUGGAUGUGCGUCAAAUCAAUGGUGUACCCCUGCAGACCCCUCUGCGUCUACGUACCCUGACGUGCACCAAAAAUGUAACUACACGUCGCUCGGCUGUGGCUUGGUAGCAUUGUAUUUCCCCCCUGACUCAUUUCCUGGUUCUCCUUCUUCGUAAACAACAUGAAAUCAAGGAGAGGGUUACCUUUUCCUGCUCCAGAUUUUCCACCGUGGUCAGAAAGAACAGGGUGACGAGUGAGAGACACUUUGUUUCUCUCACUAUGACUCUAGAGUCGCUACUCGCUCCGAGACUCGGAGCGAGACUCGCUGUCUUUGGUGUCUUUGUAGCCUUUACAGAAGGUUUUCUAUCCAGCCUGGAAGUUGUGCCUCUUUUCGGAGUUGUUCAGCAAUAAAUCCAAACGCUUAUAUCCUAGAUUUAUCCACUUGAUGUCCAUAAUUAAUCAAUUUUCUGUCAUUUUUGCCGCUAGCUCGAUGCUAGCUGCCAUUUUGAAUAUCCCAUGAUGCUUUGCGAGAUUGUGUUGACGUCUUUCAACCAAUGGGAAGGCAGGUCCGUCAUACAAAGACUAUGUAAUUGAAAAGAUGAAUCGCCCCAGCGAAUCCGAGCGAGAACAAAGGCUAAACAGUGAAAGAUGGAUCACUGCAGUCUAAUUACCGUUCUACAGAGAAGAAUGUUUUGAGAUUUGGCACACAUUUGGGCCUUUUUUGAAGAAAUGUAAAUAGUUUGUCCUUUUACAUGAGUUAUAAUGUUUAUUAUGUUUAUUUUUGCACUGCAUGACUCCAAAUAUAUAGGAGAACUGUUUUAGAACAUUGCUGUGUGUGUGAUUUCAAUAAAUAUGACAUUAUUAUUUGAUUAUUGGCAUAAGUGAAUGUCAUGAGGGCAAAAGCGUCUGGACUUUUUUUGAAAAAAUGUAUAUAUUUAGUCAACUGUAUAAAUUAUAAUGUUUAUUUCUUCACAGUGUUACUCCUAAUACAUAUGGGAACUGAUGUAGACAGGAGAUUGGCUGUGUGUGAUCUCAAUAUAUGUCUGUGAGAUUCAUGUUCCGUUUUAUUUAUUUAUUUGUCUUUAAGGUCAUACAACCAUUUUUUACAUUCAAGGGACCUCACUGCAGCACAAAUAUUCUAAUAGCCCAGUUUCUCCUGAAAAAAAUGAUGUUCAUAAAUUGACUGUAGACAACAGGGUUGAUGUUUUACAAGAUGUUUUAGAAAAUAAAACCAGACGGACAAUGAACUGUAAAAAUGACCUUAGGUUUCUG
This 2718-nucleotide long non-coding RNA is filed under the name Sander lucioperca (pikeperch). Its description in RNAcentral is "lncRNA (ENSSLUG00000005838.1)". The record is from RNAcentral. Lineage: Eukaryota; Metazoa; Chordata; Actinopteri; Perciformes; Percidae.